GGUGGCUCAAUGGUAGAGUGCUUGCCUUGCAUGCAUGAGGCCCUGGGUUCAAUUCCUCAGUACCA
Non-coding RNA from Dipodomys ordii (Ord's kangaroo rat), 65 nucleotides. Lineage: Eukaryota; Metazoa; Chordata; Mammalia; Rodentia; Heteromyidae. The record is from Rfam.